Molecule: long non-coding RNA, 1032 nt
Filed under: Sinocyclocheilus anshuiensis
Lineage: Eukaryota; Metazoa; Chordata; Actinopteri; Cypriniformes; Cyprinidae
Description: lncRNA (ENSSANG00000012686.1)
Source: RNAcentral
CUUUUAAUUUAGUAUGUUCAGUGUAGUGCUGAGUCUCUGGUUUCCAUUACAGCGACUGUAGUUCUUCAUUGCUGGUAGAUGAUGUCUUGGGUGCCUUCUUGCUAUGUCCUCAUCCCAAAAAGCCCAACCGUGGGUCUCUUAUAGUCCGCUUUCCCUCAGGACUGGUAACUCAUGCUAUUAAGAAUUCCAAGGGGAAGUUCCAGCUUGAGAAAUGCCACAUUGACUUUGAAAGCCUUGCUGCUUUGAUUGAGCACUACACAGAGUUCAAUGAGGAGCUGGAAUGUUCUCUGAGCUCUGCCCGUGUCAACCACUGCUACGAUUGGGAAGAGAUUGUGAAUAAGAGUUCACGGUCGCUGCAGGACAACAAGAAAGGCACUUUCAAAAACCAAAGUUGGGUUUGAAUCCUGUCUUUCAUGCACUUUUUUUUUUUUUUUAAAUACAAUAGUUUUUAAAAAACAUUUUAUACUAUAUAUUUUAAACUUUACAGAGCUGCUGACAUUAGUAAACCUUCCUAACAAGGAUCUUAAGUCACUGGCACACUUUUUUGAUAUUUUAAAAGGACACUUCUGUUUUGCCUGUUGGCAAUAACCUCAACCCACCUAAAGCACUCACAUUGUUGGUGUUUUGGUUUGAAUUUCUUUUCUAGGGAAACGAGCACUUACGUUUUUCAUGUAAAUGUCAGAUGUAAAUGUAUACUCCACAGCUUUUGCAAAGGUGCAGACUAUAUACGUUUUAUGUCCCAUCUAUUUUGUCUUUUAAAUUGUGUUAUGUGUGUUUAUAUUGAUUUUGGACAUUUUUUUCCCCACUCACUUUAUAAGAGCUUUUUAGCGAUAACCUGAACGUGUCCAGUGAAUGGAUUUUCUUUGCUCCCUUAAUGUUUUGGAACUCUUGCACUUUUCACCUCAUAAAUGCACACAUUUCUGUCAUUAGCUUUGCACCAGUGUAAAUUAAGUGUCUUGCCUCAUUGCAUAAACUGAUUAUACAGUCAUUUUGUCUCCUUUUUUGUGUCUUUACUUUAAUGUGUAUUACUUU